GCCGGCGCAGUCCUCGGGAAUCCCCCGCUCAACGGGUGGGCGUCCGGUGGAAACUGCGUGGCUUGGGACCGGAAGGCGCGACGGGUACGUCCGGGGUAGGAGUGAAAUCCCGUAAUCCUGGACGGACCGCCGAUGGCGAAAGCACGUCGCGAGGACGGAUCCGACAGUGAGGGACGAAAGCCAGGGUCUCGAACCGGAUUAGAUACCCGGGUAGUCCUGGCCGUAAACAAUGUCUGUUAGGUGUGGCUCCCACUACGAGUGGGUGCUGUGCCGUAGGGAAGCCGCUAAACAGACCGCCUGGGAAGUACGUCCGCAAGGAUGAAACUUAAAGGAAUUGGCGGGGGAGCACUACAACCGGAGGAGCCUGCGGUUUAAUUGGACUCAACGCCGGACAUCUCACCAGCAUCGACUGUAGUAAUGACGAUCAGGUUGAUGACCUUAUCCGAGCUUCAGAGAGGAGGUGCAUGGCCGCCGUCAGCUCGUACCGUGAGGCGUCCUGUUAAGUCAGGCAACGAGCGAGACCCGCACUCCUAAUUGCCAGCAGUACCCUUUGGGUAGCUGGGUACAUUAGGGGGACUGCCGCUGCUAAAGCGGAGGAAGGAACGGGCAACGGUAGGUCAGUAUGCCCCGAAUGGGCUGGGCAACACGCGGGCUACAAUGGUCGAGACAAUGGGAAGCCACUCCGAGAGGAGGCGCUAAUCUCCUAAACUCGAUCGUAGUUCGGAUUGAGGGCUGAAACUCGCCCUCAUGAAGCUGGAUUCGGUAGUAAUCGCGUGUCAGCAGCGCGCGGUGAAUACGUCCCUGCUCCUUGCAC
This 814-nucleotide ribosomal RNA is filed under the name uncultured archaeon. RNAcentral's name for it is "bacterial SSU rRNA". It matches the Rfam family "Archaeal small subunit ribosomal RNA", at positions 528 to 1342 of the family's 1478-position model. The record is from RNAcentral.